This 253-nucleotide ribosomal RNA is filed under the name uncultured bacterium. RNAcentral describes it as "partial 16S ribosomal RNA". It matches the Rfam family "Bacterial small subunit ribosomal RNA", at positions 524 to 776 of the family's 1533-position model. The record is from RNAcentral.
UACGUAGGGUCCGAGCGUUAAUCGGAAUUACUGGGCGUAAAGCGUGCGCAGGCGGUUUUGUAAGCCAGAUGUGAAAGCCCCGGGCUCAACCUGGGAACUGCAUUUGGGACUGCAAAGCUGGAGUACGGCAGAGGGAGGUGGAAUUCCACGUGUAGCAGUGAAAUGCGUAGAUAUGUGGAGGAACACCGAUGGCGAAGGCAGCCCCCUGGGUUAACACUGACGCUCAUGCACGAAAGCGUGGGGAGCAAACAGG